RNAcentral lists this ribosomal RNA (484 nucleotides) under uncultured bacterium. RNAcentral's name for it is "partial 16S ribosomal RNA". It matches the Rfam family "Bacterial small subunit ribosomal RNA", at positions 28 to 507 of the family's 1533-position model. The record is from RNAcentral.
GGUGAACGCUGGCGGCAGGCCUAACACAUGCAAGUCGAGCGGCAGCGGGUCCUUCGGGAUGCCGGCGAGCGGCGGACGGGUGAGGAAUGCAUCGGAAUCUGCCCUGUCGUGGGGGAUAACCUAGGGAAACUUAGGCUAAUACCGCAUACGACCCACGGGUGAAAGCGGGGGAUCGCAAGACCUCGCGCGAUAGGAUGAGCCGAUGUCCGAUUAGCUAGUUGGCGGGGUAAAGGCCCACCAAGGCGACGAUCGGUAGCUGGUCUGAGAGGAUGAUCAGCCACACUGGGACUGAGACACGGCCCAGACUCCUACGGGAGGCAGCAGUGGGGAAUAUUGGACAAUGGGCGCAAGCCUGAUCCAGCCAUGCCGCGUGGGUGAAGAAGGCCUUCGGGUUGUAAAGCCCUUUUGUCCGGGAAGAAAUCGUCUGGGCUAAUACCCCGGGCGGAUGACGGUACCGGAAGAAUAAGCACCGGCUAACUUCGUG